CGUCGGCUGUCAGCGGACU
This 19-nucleotide small nuclear RNA is filed under the name Arabidopsis thaliana (thale cress). RNAcentral describes it as "snRNA_11718". The record is from RNAcentral. Lineage: Eukaryota; Viridiplantae; Streptophyta; Magnoliopsida; Brassicales; Brassicaceae.